RNAcentral lists this ribosomal RNA (429 nucleotides) under uncultured bacterium. RNAcentral's name for it is "bacterial SSU rRNA". It matches the Rfam family "Bacterial small subunit ribosomal RNA", at positions 355 to 775 of the family's 1533-position model. The record is from RNAcentral.
UGGGGAAUUUUUCGCAAUGGGGGAAACCCUGACGAAGCAACGCCGCGUGGAGGAUGAAGGUCUUCGGAUUGUAAACUCCUGUCGACCGGGACGAAAGCAGUAGAGCUUAAUACGUUCUAUUGUUGACUGUACCGGUGGAGGAAGCCACGGCUAACUCUGUGCCAGCAGCCGCGGUAAUACAGAGGUGGCAAGCGUUGUUCGGAAUUACUGGGCGUAAAGGGCGCGUAGGCGGCUCUUUAAGUCCCGUGUGAAAGCCCCCGGCUCAACCGGGGAACUGCACGGGAAACUGGAAGGCUUGAGUUCGGGAGAGGGAAGCGGAAUUCCGGGUGUAGCGGUGAAAUGCGUAGAUAUCCGGAGGAACACCGGUGGCGAAGGCGGCUUCCUGGACCGACACUGACGCUGAGGCGCGAAAGCUAGGGGAGCAAACGG